AUGCUCAUUAACUCCUCCUUGUCCAGCCUGCUUCUAUUCAUUAUGAGCUUCUACAGCCUGCCCGAGACGUUGCAUCAUGAGAUUGCUCGCGUCCAGGGCCGCUUCUUCUGGGCUGGUGAGGGCGAUAAGCAGAAGUACCACAUGGUGCGGUGGAGUGAGAUAUGCAAGCCUCGUGAUCAGGGCGGCCUCGGGAUCAUGUCCUCCAAAUGCAUGAACAUCGCUCUGCUAACACGAUGGCUCUGGCGGAUCUCAAACAGAGAGGGCGGUCUGUGGCUCCGCAUCAUCCAGCAGAAAUACCUCCGUGGCCAGCCUCUCGCCUUCUGCCAGCGGUCUGGGGGCUCCCAGUUCUGGCAAUCCAUCAUACAGCUCCUCCCUGUCCUCCGCGUUGGGACUUCGAUCGCGGUUGGAUCAGGCACUGCCACGCUGUUUUGGUUCGACCGUUGGGCUGGGGACGCCCCCUUUGCGGCCCGCUUUCCUGGCCUGUUCGCCAUUGCG
RNAcentral lists this ribosomal RNA (495 nucleotides) under Triticum aestivum (bread wheat). RNAcentral describes it as "partial small subunit ribosomal RNA". Lineage: Eukaryota; Viridiplantae; Streptophyta; Magnoliopsida; Poales; Poaceae. The record is from RNAcentral.